GGCUGAUUAUGGNUUAUGACCUGAAAAGUUUAGCCAUAUGGCGGUUAUGCGUCUUGCUAGAGAAACAUGUUUAUUAAUACGAUAAUACACGAAUAUCUUACUUAUAAUUUACCUUACACACCGUCGUCGGAAGGGCUGUUUAUAAAAAUAGUUCUUAUACUGAAUCAGUAUUAAGUCAGAUCAAGGCGUAGGUCCUGUUUAUAAGAUUAAAUGUGUCUCUUUAAUU
This 226-nucleotide ribosomal RNA is filed under the name Trabeculus hexakon. RNAcentral's name for it is "partial 12S ribosomal RNA". Lineage: Eukaryota; Metazoa; Arthropoda; Insecta; Psocodea; Philopteridae. The record is from RNAcentral.